This 774-nucleotide ribosomal RNA is filed under the name uncultured bacterium. RNAcentral describes it as "bacterial SSU rRNA". It matches the Rfam family "Bacterial small subunit ribosomal RNA", at positions 8 to 796 of the family's 1533-position model. The record is from RNAcentral.
AGAGUUUGAUCAUGGCUCAGGACGAACGCUGGCGGCGUGCUUAACACAUGCAAGUCGAACGGAAAGGCCCGCUUGCGGGUACUCGAGUGGCGAACGGGUGAGUAACACGUGGGCAACCUGCCCUCAGCUCUGGGAUAACUCCGGGAAACCGGUGCUAAUACUGGAUAUCGACUUCUGCCUCGCAUGGGGUGUUGUUGAAAGUUUUUCGGCUGGGGAUGGGCCCGCGGCCUAUCAGCUUGUUGGUGGGGUGAUGGCCUACCAAGGCGACGACGGGUAGCCGGCCUGAGAGGGCGACCGGCCACACUGGGACUGAGACACGGCCCAGACUCCUACGGGAGGCAGCAGUGGGGAAUAUUGCGCAAUGGGCGGAAGCCUGACGCAGCGACGCCGCGUGAGGGAUGACGGCCUUCGGGUUGUAAACCUCUUUCAGCUCUGACGAAGCGUGAGUGACGGUAGGAGCAGAAGAAGCACCGGCCAACUACGUGCCAGCAGCCGCGGUAAUACGUAGGGUGCAAGCGUUGUCCGGAAUUAUUGGGCGUAAAGAGCUCGUAGGCGGUUUGUCGCGUCGAAUGUGAAAACCCGGGGCUCAACCCCGGGCCUGCAUUCGAUACGGGCAGACUAGAGUUCGGUAGGGGAGUCUGGAAUUCCUGGUGUAGCGGUGAAAUGCGCAGAUAUCAGGAGGAACACCGGUGGCGAAGGCGGGACUCUGGGCCGAUACUGACGCUGAGGAGCGAAAGCGUGGGGAGCGAACAGGAUUAGAUACCCUAGUAGUCC